Molecule: ribosomal RNA, 253 nt
Filed under: uncultured bacterium
Lineage: Bacteria
Description: partial 16S ribosomal RNA
Rfam family: Bacterial small subunit ribosomal RNA
Source: RNAcentral
UACGGAGGGUGCGAGCGUUGUCCGGAAUCACUGGGCGUAAAGGGCGCGUAGGCGGCUUGUCGCGUCGUCCGUGAAAACCCGGGGCUCAACCCCGGGCUUGCGGUCGAUACGGGCAGGCUCGAGUUCGGUAGGGGAGACUGGAAUUCCUGGUGUAGCGGUGAAAUGCGCAGAUAUCAGGAAGAACACCCGUGGCUAAGGCGGCUCUCUAGUACGGUACUGACGCUGAGACGCGAAAGCGUGGGGAGCGAACAGG